This 384-nucleotide ribosomal RNA is filed under the name uncultured archaeon. RNAcentral describes it as "bacterial SSU rRNA". It matches the Rfam family "Archaeal small subunit ribosomal RNA", at positions 78 to 459 of the family's 1478-position model. The record is from RNAcentral.
CAAGCGAACUGCUCAGUAACACAGUAGUUAACCUAACCUAAUGCGAUGGGGAUAACCUCGGGAAACUGAGAAUAAUACCCAAUAGAUCACAGUGCCUGGAAUGGCCUGUGAUUGAAAUGAUUUAUCGCCGUAGGAUGGGACUGCGGCCUAUCAGCUUGUUGGUGAGGUAAUGGCCCACCAAGGCUAUAACAGGUACGGGCUCUGAGAGGAGGGGCCCGGAGAUGGGUACUGAGACACGGACCCAGGCCCUAUGGGGCGCAGCAGGCGAGAAACCUUUGCAAUGUGCGAAAGCACGACAAGGUUAAUCCGAGUGUCUCCUGCUAAAGGAGUCUUUUGUCAGUUGUAGAAUCACUGGCGAAUAAGGGGUGGGCAAGUUCUGGUGUC